RNAcentral lists this long non-coding RNA (751 nucleotides) under Heterocephalus glaber (naked mole-rat). Its description in RNAcentral is "lncRNA (ENSHGLG00100049749.1)". The record is from RNAcentral. Lineage: Eukaryota; Metazoa; Chordata; Mammalia; Rodentia; Bathyergidae.
CGGCUCCCGCCCGCAACUCGGCGCAACUUUCCCGCGGGCAGGCGGGCACCCUCGCCGCCGGCCCGCUCCCCGCGCGCCCCGGGCCCGCACGGACCUUGCGGUUGCUGGAGGUGCCUCCGGGACGCGGCCGCAGCCCCGCGCCCGGCGGCCCGAGCAGGGCCGGGCUGGGGCUCCGGCUCCGGGCUCGGGCUCCCGCUUGGUGCGGAGCCGCGCGCAAACCUUCCGGGUCGCCUGCUGUUCACUUCUGGGUUCUGCAAGCGCCGAGGCGGCGGCGGCGGUGGCGGCGGCGGCGGGAGGCUGGGUCUGCGGCGUCGCGCGGCCCCCCGUGCGCUCCGCGAGCCACUGCGCCAGGCGCCCGGCUCCGGGUUGGGGGGCCGCGUUGGGCCCCCGCCUCUCCGGCUGCACAGCCCGUCCGGCCCCGGGGCUUCGCUCUGGAGGCCAAAAGUUCAACAUCAGGAUGUCAGUCAGCAGGGCUGUGCUCCUCUUAAGGUUCAAGAGGAGAAUCCUUCCUUGCCCCUUCCAUCUUCUGCUGUCUGACUCCUUCUUCCUGGCUGCACUGAUUGGCUAAGAGGAGGCACCUGAGCCCAGCUUGGCCAAUCACAUCACUUCACUCUCCUCAGCUACAAGACUGGUCCAGCCCAGGGUACAUGAAACUGGCUUCCUCAGGGAUUUUAUUUUUUUAACUAAAAGCAAGAAUCAUAAACAUGUUUUAAACUUAAAAGAUAAGGUGGUAAAUAUUUUUUGCUUUGGG